RNAcentral lists this ribosomal RNA (446 nucleotides) under uncultured bacterium. Its description in RNAcentral is "partial 16S ribosomal RNA". It matches the Rfam family "Bacterial small subunit ribosomal RNA", at positions 329 to 792 of the family's 1533-position model. The record is from RNAcentral.
GGCCAGACUCCUACGGGAGGCAGCAGUGGGGAAUAUUGCACAAUGGGGGAAGCCCUGAUGCAGCGACGCCGCGUGAGUGAAGAAGUAUUUCGGUAUGUAAAGCUCUCUCAGCAGGAAAGAAAAUGACGGUACCUGACUAAGAAGCCCCGGCUAACUACGUGCCAGCAGCCGCGGUAAUACGUAGGGGGCAAGCGUUAUCCGGAUUUACUGGGUGUAAAGGGAGCGUAGACGGUGAAGCAAGUCUGAAGUGAAAGGCGGGGGCUCAACCCCCGGACUGCUUUGGAAACUGUUUGACUGGAGUGCAGGAGAGGUAAGUGGAAUUCCUAGUGUAGCGGUGAAAUGCGUAGAUAUUAGGAGGAACACCAGUGGCGAAGGCGGCUUACUGGACUGUAACUGACGUUGAGGCUCGAAAGCGUGGGGAGCAAACAGGAUUAGAUACCCGGGUA